This is a long non-coding RNA of Anolis carolinensis (green anole), 661 nucleotides long. RefSeq lists it as uncharacterized. The transcript is spliced from 2 exons. The record is from RefSeq and is a predicted model, not a curated record. NCBI's taxonomy places the organism in Eukaryota, Metazoa, Chordata, Lepidosauria, Squamata, Anolidae.
UCUGGUGGUAUGGGAAAUAAAGUAUUGAGGAAUUGGUGGUAGUUAAGGUAAACGGUAAAGGUUUCCCCCUGACAUUACGUCCAUUAUAAAUGGGUUAUAUAGCUGUGUGGAAAGGCCUUGAGUCUACACUGCCAUAUAAUCCAGCCUAACUCUGCCUUUCCCCUGGGCUGAGUGGGUUGCUAGGAGACCAAGUGGACGGAGCUUAGCCUUCUAACUGGCAGCAAUUGGAUAAAAACAAUUAUUCCUCUCCCUCUAAUUGGGACUUUAUUUUUCUUUUCUUUUUGUUGUAUGGAAUGCAUUGCCAAAAGAGAUCAGACAAUCCCCUACAUUAUCCAAUUUCCGUAAGGAACUGAAGACCUGGUGGUGUCGGCAGGUUUUUCAGUAAUUAGAUUGGAAUACCGCCGAUUUCUGGGCCUGAAUAUAUUGCACAAGAUUUCUCUAACUUAAAAUGAUACAUUUUAAUAUAUUGGGUUAUGGUUCCCGUCCCCUUGAUCAGGUCAUGUAAGUGUUAUUUAUUUCUAUAAUUGUAUUUUUACUUUGCUUAAUAAUGUGUUAUUAUGUUUGUUAUGUAAUGUUUGUGUUGUUUUUAUUAUUGGAAACUGCCCUGAGUCCCAUCCGGGAGAUAGGGCGGUAUAUAAAUAAAGUUUUUUUAUUAUUAUUA